CCUACGGGGUGCUGCAGUGGGGAAUAUUGGACAAUGGGCGAAAGCCUGAUCCAGCCAUGCCGCGUGUGUGAAGAAGGCCUUCGGGUUGUAAAGCACUUUCAGUGGGGAAGAAAGCCUUGGGGCUAAUACCCUCGAGGAAGGACAUCACCCACAGAAGAAGCACCGGCUAACUCCGUGCCAGCAGCCGCGGUAAUACGGAGGGUGCGAGCGUUAAUCGGAAUUACUGGGCGUAAAGCGCGCGUAGGCGGUCUGAUAAGCCGGUUGUGAAAGCCCCGGGCUCAACCUGGGAACGGCAUCCGGAACUGUCAGGCUAGAGUGCAGGAGAGGAAGGUAGAAUUCCCGGUGUAGCGGUGAAAUGCGUAGAGAUCGGGAGGAAUACCAGUGGCGAAGGCGGCCUUCUGGACUGACACUGACGCUGAGGUGCAAAAGCGUGGGUAGCAAACAGGAUUAGAUACCCUUGUAGUC
RNAcentral lists this ribosomal RNA (465 nucleotides) under Vreelandella stevensii. Its description in RNAcentral is "partial 16S ribosomal RNA". It matches the Rfam family "Bacterial small subunit ribosomal RNA", at positions 338 to 795 of the family's 1533-position model. Lineage: Bacteria; Pseudomonadati; Pseudomonadota; Gammaproteobacteria; Oceanospirillales; Halomonadaceae. The record is from RNAcentral.